AGAUGGGGACCUAGGAAGGGAGGCAGCCCUAAAGCAUAGCCUGAGGCCAGAGACCCCCACCAAAAUCAUCAGUUUAUCAGUGGUGCCAGGAGAUUGUGGCAUCAAAGAGAAGGUUAGCCCAGGACUUUCGCAAGUAGGGCCAUCUUCCACAUCUAUACCCCAGGCUGGAGUUGAGCUGGGAGAUGAAGGAAGGGCAUUGUCAGAUUGUAAGGGCCCGGAAAAGCUGUCCUCUUCGGCACUGUCCACAGAGCAAGGGGGACCCAGGAUUCAAGAGAGGCCAAUGGCUCAAGCUGGGAUGACAGGUCAGUCAGUACCUGACACUCCAACAAUGUCUGAAACUCUUGAAGUGACCACAGCUGCCGCAGUGUCCAAAGUUGAAUGCACACCCACUGAGGGGCUGCCUGCAACUCCCAAAG
Molecule: long non-coding RNA, 416 nt
Filed under: Rattus norvegicus (Norway rat)
Lineage: Eukaryota; Metazoa; Chordata; Mammalia; Rodentia; Muridae
Description: long non-coding RNA NONRATT010451
Source: RNAcentral